RNAcentral lists this ribosomal RNA (104 nucleotides) under Enterobacter ludwigii. RNAcentral describes it as "partial 16S ribosomal RNA". It matches the Rfam family "Bacterial small subunit ribosomal RNA", at positions 1 to 100 of the family's 1533-position model. The record is from RNAcentral. Lineage: Bacteria; Pseudomonadati; Pseudomonadota; Gammaproteobacteria; Enterobacterales; Enterobacteriaceae.
AAAUUGAAGAGUUUGAUCAUGGCUCAGAUUGAACGCUGGCGGCAGGCCUAACACAUGCAAGUCGAACGGUAGCACAGAGAGCUUGCUCUCGGGUGACGGUGACG